CUACGGGAGGCUCCAGUAAGGAAUAUUGCGCAAUGGAGGCAACUCUGACGCAGCCAUGCCGCGUGCAGGAAGAAGGCCUUAUGGGUCGUAAACUGCUUUUAUUUAGGAAUGAACCCCCGAACGUGUUCGGGGCUGAAGGUACUAAACGAAUAAGCACCGGCUAACUCCGUGCCAGCAGCCGCGGUAAUACGGAGGGUGCAAGCGUUAUCCGGAGUUAUUGGGUUUAAAGGGUGCGCAGGCGGGCUAUUAAGUCAGUGGUGAAAUCCCGGGGCUCAACUCCGGAACUGCCAUUGAUACUGAUAGUCUUGAGUUUGGUUGAAGUGGGCGGAAUGUAGCAUGUAGCGGUGAAAUGCAUAGAUAUGCUACAGAACACCAAUCGCGAAGGCAGCUCACUAAGCCAAAACUGACGCUCAUGCACGAAAGCGUGGGGAUCAAACAGGAUUAGAUACCCUUGUAGUC
This 459-nucleotide ribosomal RNA is filed under the name uncultured bacterium. RNAcentral describes it as "partial 16S ribosomal RNA". It matches the Rfam family "Bacterial small subunit ribosomal RNA", at positions 339 to 795 of the family's 1533-position model. The record is from RNAcentral.